ACGCAACGAUGAUUAUUCUCUACAAACCAUAAAGACAUUGGAACGCUAUAUUUUAUUUUCGGGGCCUGAGCAGGAAUAGUAGGUACUGCUCUUAGUUUAAUUAUUCGUGCUGAGUUAGGUCAACCAGGAAGACUUAUUGGAGAUGACCAAAUCUAUAAUGUAGUAGUUACAGCUCAUGCAUUUGUUAUAAUUUUCUUUAUAGUUAUGCCUAUUAUAAUUGGAGGAUUUGGAAACUGAUUAGUUCCUUUAAUAUUAGGAGCACCUGAUAUGGCAUUCCCACGAAUGAAUAAUAUAAGCUUUUGGCUGCUGCCUCCUUCUCUUACUCUUCUCUUAUCCAGAGGAAUAGUUGAAAGAGGAGUUGGAACAGGAUGAACUGUGUACCCUCCUUUAUCAGCUAGAAUCGCACAUGCAGGGGCCUCUGUAGAUUUAGGAAUUUUUUCAUUACAUUUAGCAGGGGUUUCAUCAAUUUUAGGGGCCGUAAAUUUUAUAACAACUGUAAUUAAUAUACGAUCUACAGGUAUGACUAUAGACCGAAUACCGUUAUUCGUCUGAGCAGUCUUUAUUACUGCACUUUUACUCCUAUUAUCUUUACCUGUUCUAGCAGGAGCUAUUACAAUACUUCUUACCGAUCGUAAUCUUAAUACUUCAUUUUUUGACCCAGCGGGUGGAGGAGACCCAGUCCUUUAUCAACAUUUAUUCUGAUUCUUCGGGCACCCAGAGGUCUAUAUUCUAAUUCUUCCCGCCUUUGGAAUAAUCUCACACAUCAUCAGUCAAGAGUCGGGUAAAAAAGAAGCUUUUGGUACUUUAGGGAUAAUUUAUGCUAUAUUGGCCAUUGGAGUUUUAGGAUUUGUAGUGUGAGCUCACCAUAUAUUUACAGUAGGAAUGGAUGUUGAUACACGAGCUUACUUUACAUCAGCAACAAUAAUUAUUGCUGUUCCUACAGGAAUUAAAAUCUUUAGUUGACUUGGGACCCUCCAUGGAACCCAACUAAACUAUAGCCCAUCAUUAAUUUGAGCGUUAGGAUUCGUUUUCUUAUUUACUGUGGGGGGAUUAACAGGAGUUGUUCUAGCGAAUUCUUCGAUUGACAUUAUUCUCCACGACACUUAUUAUGUAGUGGCCCAUUUCCACUACGUUCUCUCGAUAGGAGCUGUAUUUGGAAUUUUUGCAGGAAUUGCUCAUUGAUUUCCUCUUUUUACUGGUCUCACAUUAAAUCCUAAAUGACUAAAAAUCCACUUUUUAGUUAUAUUUGUUGGAGUAAACAUUACAUUUUUCCCCCAACAUUUCUUAGGACUUAAUGGAAUACCUCGACGAUACUCUGAUUAUCCUGAUGCCUACACAGCUUGAAAUGUUGUUUCAUCUAUUGGGUCUACAAUUUCAUUAAUUGCUGUCCUCGGAUUUAUUAUCAUUGUAUGAGAAGCUCUAACUGCUGCACGGCCUGUAUUAUUCUCUCUAUUCUUACCAACAUCUAUUGAAUGACAGCAUAAUCUUCCGCCAGCUGAUCAUAGUUAUAUAGAAAUUCCGUUAAUCACUAACU
This 1534-nucleotide unclassified non-coding RNA is filed under the name Penaeus japonicus. Its description in RNAcentral is "cytochrome c oxidase subunit 1". The record is from RNAcentral. Lineage: Eukaryota; Metazoa; Arthropoda; Malacostraca; Decapoda; Penaeidae.